UUGUUAUACUGAAAAAGUGAGCAUAGGAAACUGAUUUUUUUUUCUGCAAUCUUUUACCUCACUAGCUUUUUAAUGGUACAUUUCUGAAAGCCAUGGAGGACGGAGGCGUCAAGCUUCUGAAAGAAAGAUUAGAGAAAUUCUUCCAUCGGUAUUUGCAAACGCUACAUUUGCAGUCAUGUGACCUACUUGACAUUUUUGGUGGAAUCAGCUUCUUCCCAUUGGAUAAAAUGACUUAUUUGAAAAUCCAGUCCUUUAUUAAUAGAAUGGAGGAAAGCCUGAAUAUAGUCAAAUACACUGCUUUUCUCUAUAACGAUCAGCUCAUCUGGAGUGGAUUAGAACAAGAUGACAUGAGAAUUUUAUACAAAUACCUUACCACCUCCCUUUUUCCAAGGCACAUCGAACCUGAGGUAUGAUGGGUGCCAUAGCUGCGCACAAUUACAUCCAGGGGCACAGACAGGGCAGGUGGAGUGAGAUGGUGGUGCGUGGGGGAGUUUCUGAUCGUUUCUGAUGUAUGUUUUGUCUUAGUG
RNAcentral lists this small RNA (527 nucleotides) under Pongo abelii (Sumatran orangutan). RNAcentral's name for it is "retained intron". The record is from RNAcentral. Lineage: Eukaryota; Metazoa; Chordata; Mammalia; Primates; Hominidae.